This 215-nucleotide long non-coding RNA is filed under the name Capsicum annuum. Its description in RNAcentral is "long non-coding RNA (CANN_LNC012740)". Lineage: Eukaryota; Viridiplantae; Streptophyta; Magnoliopsida; Solanales; Solanaceae. The record is from RNAcentral.
UCUGCUUGUCUUCCCCAUUGCUCGUCGUGCAAUUCUUGACCACUAUCGUUAUAUAUCUUGAUUCCUCAUCUUAAUGUUCAGCCAGUCCAACAAACUGUUUAUACACCUUUGUGAAAAGACACACUAAGAGAAAAAAUGGUCAAUACAUUCUACUUGAGCUCCGCAAAGUAAACAAUUAGCAUCAGGGACUACUCCAAACUGUACCAAUUUUUCUC